UAACAAUCAAAACCGCAUGGUUUUGAUUUGAAAGGCGCUUUCGGGUGUCGCUGAUGGAUGGACCCGCGGUGCAUUAGCUAGUUGGUGAGGUAACGGCUCACCAAGGCCACGAUGCAUAGCCGACCUGAGAGGGUGAUCGGCCACAUUGGGACUGAGACACGGCCCAAACUCCUACGGGAGGCAGCAGUAGGGAAUCUUCGGCAAUGGACGAAAGUCUGACCGAGCAACGCCGCGUGAGUGAAGAAGGUUUUCGGAUCGUAAAACUCUGUUGUUAGAGAAGAACAAGGAUGAGAGUAACUGUUCAUCCCUUGACGGUAUCUAACCAGAAAGCCACGGCUAACUACGUGCCAGCAGCCGCGGUAAUACGUAGGUGGCAAGCGUUGUCCGGAUUUAUUGGGCGUAAAGCGAGCGCAGGCGGUUUCUUAAGUCUGAUGUGAAAGCCCCCGGCUCAACCGGGGAGGGUCAUUGGAAACUGGGAGACUUGAGUGCAGAAGAGGAGAGUGGAAUUCCAUGUGUAGCGGUGAAAUGCGUAGAUAUAUGGAGGAACACCAGUGGCGAAGGCGGCUCUCUGGUCUGUAACUGACGCUGAGGCUCGAAAGCGUGGGGAGCAAACAGGAUUAGAUACCCUGGUAGUCCACGCCGUAAACGAUGAGUGCUAAGUGUUGGAGGGUUUCCGCCCUUCAGUGCUGCAGCUAACGCAUUAAGCACUCCGCCUGGGGAGUACGACCGCAAGGUUGAAACUCAAAGGAAUUGACGGGGGCCCGCACAAGCGGUGGAGCAUGUGGUUUAAUUCGAAGCAACGCGAAGAACCUUACCAGGUCUUGACAUCCUUUGACCACUCUAGAGAUAGAGCUUCCCCUUCGGGGGCAAAGUGACAGGUGGUGCAUGGUUGUCGUCAGCUCGUGUCGUGAGAUGUUGGGUUAAGUCCCGCAACGAGCGCAACCCUUAUUGUUAGUUGCCAUCAUUCAGUUGGGCACUCUAGCAAGACUGCCGGUGACAAACCGGAGGAAGGUGGGGAUGACGUCAAAUCAUCAUGCCCCUUAUGACCUGGGCUACACACGUGCUACAAUGGGAAGUACAACGAGUUGCGAAGUCGCGAGGCUAAGCUAAUCUCUUAAAGCUUCUCUCAGUUCGGAUUGCAGGCUGCAACUCGCCUGCAUGAAGCCGGAAUCGCUAGUAAUCGCGGAUCAGCACGCCGCGGUGAAUACGUUCCCGGGCCUUGUACACACCGCCCG
This 1235-nucleotide ribosomal RNA is filed under the name Enterococcus sp. Its description in RNAcentral is "bacterial SSU rRNA". It matches the Rfam family "Bacterial small subunit ribosomal RNA", at positions 173 to 1396 of the family's 1533-position model. The record is from RNAcentral. Lineage: Bacteria; Bacillati; Bacillota; Bacilli; Lactobacillales; Enterococcaceae.